UUCCAGACUCCUACGGGAGGCAGCAGUGGGGAAUAUUGCACAAUGGGGGGAACCCUGAUGCAGCGACGCCGCGUGGGUGAAGGAGCACCUCGGUGCGUAAAGCCCUAUCGGCAGGGAAGAAACAGACGGUACCUGACUAAGAAGCCCCGGCUAACUACGUGCCAGCAGCCGCGGUAAUACGUAGGGGGCAAGCGUUAUCCGGAUUUACUGGGUGUAAAGGGAGCGUAGACGGUUAUGCAAGUCUGAAGUGAAAGCCCAAGGCUCAACCAUGGGACUGCUUUGGAAACUGUAAAACUGGAGUGCAGGAGAGGUAAGCGGAAUUCCUAGUGUAGCGGUGAAAUGCGUAGAUAUUAGGAGGAACACCAGUGGCGAAGGCGGCUUGCUGGACAGUAACUGACGUUGAGGCUCGAAAGCGUGGGGAGCAAACAGGAUUAGAUACCCGCGUAAC
RNAcentral lists this ribosomal RNA (448 nucleotides) under uncultured bacterium. Its description in RNAcentral is "bacterial SSU rRNA". It matches the Rfam family "Bacterial small subunit ribosomal RNA", at positions 329 to 794 of the family's 1533-position model. The record is from RNAcentral.